Molecule: long non-coding RNA, 1601 nt
Organism: Oncorhynchus tshawytscha (Chinook salmon)
Lineage: Eukaryota; Metazoa; Chordata; Actinopteri; Salmoniformes; Salmonidae
Source: Ensembl
GUGCAGUGUGAGGAGGACAGGACCAAGAAGUGUGAGGAGGACAGGACCAAGAAGUGUGAGGAGGACAGGACCAAGAAGUGUGAGGAGGACAGGACCAAGAGGUGUGAGGAGGACAGGACCAAGAAGUGUGAGGAGGACAGGACCAAGAGGUGUGAGGAGGACAGGACCAGGAAGUGUGAGGAGGACAGGACCAGGAAGUGCAGUGUGAGGAGGAUGUUCAAAGAGGUGUAGAAUAAACUUAAUAAAUAGGUUGGCUUGGUUUAUUCAUCACGUCAUUGUAGCUGCACUUAGAUGACAGACAGAUUGACACACACGCACACACACGCACACACACGCACACACACACACGCAGAGAGAGAGAACAGCACAAGACAGACGUCUUUAAAACAGCUAUUCUUUGUGGUCAGGCGCCAUGCUCAUUACCGGCUGACUAAAUUGCUGACAGGAAGUCAGAGGUCAACAGUCCCCUUUGACCCCAGGGCUGGCAGGGGUGAGGGGGAUUGAGUCCAGCAGACCAGACAAGACCAGCCUGAAGGAAGCAGAAGGGAGAGAAGUGUGACAGGACCAGGACGUGUAGUGUGAGUAGGACAGGACAAAAUGGCACCCUAUUAUAAGGACUAGUGUUCUAUCUGGGAGGCAGAUGGAGACUCUCAUGGUUGUGUUGUAUUGUAUAGUCAAAUCAAAUUUAAACAAAUGUUAUUUGUCACGUGCACCGAAUACAACAGGUGUAGACUUUACAGUGAAAUGCUUACGUACAAGCCAUUAACCAAAAAUGCAGUUUUAAGAAAAAUAAGUGUUAAGAAAUUAUUUAAUAAAAUAAACUGAAGUAAAAAAAUAAAAAAGUACAUAAAUGAAACAUUUAAAUUUAAAAGAAGAAAAUAGAAAAAUAACAAAUAAUUAAAGUGAGACAAUAAAAUAACAGUAGCGAGGCUAUAUACAGGCCCAGAUUAUAUACAGGCCCAGAUUAUAUACAGGCCCAGAUUAUAUACAGGCCCAGAUUAUAUACAGGCCCAGAUUAUAUACAGGCCCUGAUUAUAUACAGGCCCUGAUUAUAUACAGGCCCAGAUUAUAUACAGGCCCUGAUUAUAUACAGGCCCAGAUUAUAUACAGGCCCUGAUUGAUUAUAUACAGGCCCUGAUUAUAUACAGGCCCAGAUUAUAUACAGGCCCAGAUUAUAUACAGGCCCAGAUUAUAUACAGGCCCAGAUUAUAUACAGGCCCUGAUUAGAUACAGGCCCAGAUUAUAUACAGGCCCAGAUUAUAUCGAAGCCCAGAUUAUAUCGGGGCCCAGAUUAUAUCGAAGCCCAGAUUAUAUCGGGGCCCAGAUAUUAUCGAGGCCCAUGUUAAAUCAAAUCAUUCACCCUCUUUACCAAACUAACAAUGACAAAUCCUUGAUGUGUCACAUUGUGAACCCAUAUCAAACUACAAAAAUCUCUGAAGCUGGAGACUCAUAUCUCCCUCACUAGCUCCCCUCACAGCGCCAGCUGUCAGAGCAGCUCACAGAUCACUGCACCUGUACAUAGCCCAUCUGUAAACAGCCCAUCUAUCUACCUACCUCAUCCCCAUACAGUAUUUAUGUAUUUAUAUUGCUCCUUUGCACCC